CGGACGGGUGAGUAACGCGUGGGUAACCUGCCUUAUACAGGGGGAUAACAGUCAGAAAUGGCUGCUAAUACCGCAUAAGCGCACAGAGCUGCAUGGCUCAGUGUGAAAAACUCCGGUGGUAUAAGAUGGACCCGCGUUGGAUUAGCUAGUUGGUGGGGUAACGGCCCACCAAGGCGACGAUCCAUAGCCGGCCUGAGAGGGUGAACGGUCACAUUGGGACUGAGACACGGCCCAGACUCCUACGGGAGGCAGCAUG
RNAcentral lists this ribosomal RNA (256 nucleotides) under uncultured bacterium. RNAcentral describes it as "partial 16S ribosomal RNA". It matches the Rfam family "Bacterial small subunit ribosomal RNA", at positions 99 to 353 of the family's 1533-position model. The record is from RNAcentral.